ACGAAGGGUGCUAGCGUUGUUCGGAAUUACUGGGCGUAAAGGGUACGUAGGCGGCUUGGCAAGUUGGUUGUGAAAGCCCAAGGCUCAACCUUGGAACUGCAACCAAAACUGCUUCGCUUGAGUUUGGUGGGGGAUAGUGGAAUUCCUAGUGUAGGGGUGAAAUCCGUAGAUAUUAGGAGGAACACCAGUGGCGAAGGCGACUAUCUACACCAAUACUGACGCUAAGGUACGAAAGCGUGGGGAGCAAACAGG
RNAcentral lists this ribosomal RNA (252 nucleotides) under uncultured bacterium. RNAcentral's name for it is "partial 16S ribosomal RNA". It matches the Rfam family "Bacterial small subunit ribosomal RNA", at positions 525 to 776 of the family's 1533-position model. The record is from RNAcentral.